CUCGAGGAUAAUUCCUUAACCGAAGGGAAAGAAGGGAAGAGCGCCGGGGAGAGCUCGGCACGCGGAGUAAGUUGGCUGGAACUCCCCGUGACCGCUCAGCCGGGCGUGCAGGGCUGCAGCGGCGCAAAGCCUAUUCCAGAGCGGCCGCAGCGGCGCGGGCAGGAGGGGUACCCAGGUGGGGCCGCGCGCCCUCCGCGGGGGAUAGGUGAUCCCGCUCCCGAGUCCGAGAGGGAGCCAGGUGAGCGUCCGCCCGGGUCCGCCGGUGACCAGGUUGACAUUUCGCAAUUUUGAACUGACCCUAUGUAGUUUCAUGAGAUGUGCCUUGAAUCUCCCCAGAAGGUAACCCACACCUGUCGAGGACGGUCCCAGCGCUCCAUCUCGAUGCAGCCUCUGUUGUUAUACAGCGUGCUCAUCCGGAUAGCCAGCGAGAGGCACUCUUGGCGGCCCACCUGGAAGAGGAAGCGGGGCAGGUGCCCGCCGGCCGGGCUCCCCACGACACGGUGUGAGACCUCGGGCUACAACACGGGACCCGGGCGCUGCUCCGACCCCUCGUGUCUUGUGUUGCAGCCGGAGGGACGCAAGUCCGCAGCAGAGCCUGCUCCCCGCCGGCGCGGGACUCGGCAGCGGGAAGGAAGGGAAAAAGCUCCAACAGAGGACCCUCCAACUGGAGGUGGGAGGCAUCAAAGGCAAGCUCCUUCACCAUCUCAGCACAGGCUGGAGCUGUGGACACGGGUCCAGAGAGCUACGCGGCUGAUCCAUUUCAUUGCCUGGCCCAGCUGUGAAGUGCACAUUCUGGAUGCUAAAUGUUAUGUUUCUGAGAUCAACUUCCCUUUGAGACAAACUUUUCCAAAUAGUGGUUGAUGCAUCCUUCACGUUUAAGAAAGCGGCAUGCAGCAGGCAAAGAUAAACUGGGGCUGAGAGAGUUCUUUUUCUGCCCUGCAACCUUGAGACCAGUACUCUAAGGGUGAGCCUUCUGCUUCUGAGUUCUUGAGGAAGAUGGGAGGGGGAGAGGGGUCACCUUCCUAAGAGCUGCACUCUGGCCUAAGGGAAAGAACCUAUUUUUCAAGGCCCUGCCCCAGACUUGUAAACUAAAUCUCUUAGUUAUUUGAUAAGGGCUCUUAGCUGUUUGAAAAGGGAUGAGAAGGAGCCCCUUUGUGCCCUGGGCAUGGUCUGGACAGAGAAGAGUGGGCCAAAGGGCUCAGCUGGUGCUCAGCACAGUGAUGAAGAUACCCAGGGGAAACACUAUCCCCGCUGUCUGUUGCUAUACUGUUUUGCUUCUGGAGAUUAUUACUCAUCACUGGGAAGUGUAUGUGUGUGUGUAUGGGGCAGGGGUGGGGGAGGUGUGGAGUAUUACUGCCCAAAGACUGUUGCAGGGAACUGAGUGAAGUGGGGUUGGGGGGCUCCACCCCACCAAAGCCAUGUGUGAUAGACAUAGUGUAGGGGAAGGGCAGCCAUCCCAGAAUUCCAAGCGGCAGUCCCCGGUGGAGGAGCUGAAGGCCACGGGGGACUUAGAGCCACAUAACAAGACACCAGCAUGAGGCUGGACCAUGGCCUGCGUGAGACCAUCUCUUCUUUCAAAAUGUGAUGUGAGCUCUGCCUGGUGAGGUCAGUGUACAGUUGCCACAAGUUCUUCUAGAAUUUAAUGAAGGACUAUUCUAGAGGGAUCCAAUGAUCAUGAUAAUUAGGAAGCAUUUCCCCCCAAAACCUAUGCUAUUAAGAAAGUGAGUUAAUAUAAUAAGUAACUACUGGAAUAGAAAUCCUCCAAACCCAUGCUAUCAAGAAAGUAAUUUACAUGGGGACAGAGAGUAAAAUGGUGGUUGCCAGAGGUGGGGUGGGAGAGAAUGGGAGAUGGUCAAAAGAUAUAAGCUUCCAGUUAGAAGAUGAGUAAGUCUUGGGGCUCUCAUGUACUAGCAUGGUAACCAUAGUAACAAUGCUAUGUUACAUACUUGAAAGUUGCUGAUAGAUCUUAAAUAUUCUCACAGCACACAUAAAAGGUAAUCAUGUGAGAUGGUGGCGGUGCUAACUAACCUUAUUGUGGCAAUCAUUUGCAAUAUAUGCAUGUAUCAAGUCAUCACAUUGUAUACCUUAAACUUGUACAAAGGUAUAUGUCAAUUAUAUCUCAAUAAAGCUAGCAGGGAGGAGAAGGCA
Molecule: long non-coding RNA, 2148 nt
Organism: Bos indicus x Bos taurus (hybrid cattle)
Lineage: Eukaryota; Metazoa; Chordata; Mammalia; Artiodactyla; Bovidae
Source: Ensembl